GAUUAUGGCUCAGGAUGAACGCUAGCGACAGGCUUAACACAUGCAAGUCGAGGGGCAGCAUAAAGUAGCAAUACUUGGUGGCGACCGGCGCACGGGUGAGUAACGCGUAUGCAACCUACCUAUCAGAGGGGAAUAACCCGGCGAAAGUCGGACUAAUACCGCAUAAAACAGGGGCACCGCAUGGUGAUAUUUGUUAAAGAAAUUCGCUGAUAGAUGGGCAUGCGUUCCAUUAGGUAGUUGGUGAGGUAACGGCUCACCAAGCCGACGAUGGAUAGGGGAACUGAGAGGUUGGUCCCCCACACUGGUACUGAGACACGGACCAGACUCCUAUGGGAGGCAGCAGUGAGGAAUAUUGGUCAAUGGGCGGGAGCCUGAACCAGCCAAGUCGCGUGAAGGAAGAAGGAUCUAUGGUUCGUAAACUUCUUUGCAGGGGAAUAAAGUGCAGGACGUGUCCUGUUUUGUAUGUACCCUGAGAAUAAGGAUCGGCUAACUCCGUGCCAGCCGCUGC
This 508-nucleotide ribosomal RNA is filed under the name uncultured bacterium. RNAcentral describes it as "bacterial SSU rRNA". It matches the Rfam family "Bacterial small subunit ribosomal RNA", at positions 15 to 518 of the family's 1533-position model. The record is from RNAcentral.